This 497-nucleotide ribosomal RNA is filed under the name uncultured bacterium. Its description in RNAcentral is "partial 16S ribosomal RNA". It matches the Rfam family "Bacterial small subunit ribosomal RNA", at positions 30 to 523 of the family's 1533-position model. The record is from RNAcentral.
AUUGAACGCUGGCGGCAUGCCUUACACAUGCAAGUCGAACGGUAACAGGUCUUCGGAUGCUGACGAGUGGCGAACGGGUGAGUAUACAUCGGAACGUGCCUAGUAGUGGGGGAUAACUACUCGAAAGAGUGGCUAAUACCGCAUGAGAUCUACGGAUGAAAGCAGGGGAUCGCAAGACCUUGUGCUACUAGAGCGGCCGAUGGCAGGUUAGGUAGUUGGUGGGAUAAAAGCUUACCAAGCCGACGAGCUGGAGCUGGUCUGAGAGGACGAUCAGCCACACGGGGACUGAGACACGGCCCAGACUCCUACGGGAGGCAGCAGUGGGGAAUUUUGGACAAUGGGCGGAAGCCUGAUCCAGCAAUGCCGCGUGCAGGAUGAAGGCCUUCGGGUUGUAAACUGCUUUUGUACGGAACGAAAAGCCCUGGGUUAAUACCCUGGGGUCAUGACGGUACCGUAAGAAUAAGCACCGGCUAACUACGUGCCAGCCGCCGCCGUAA